ACAUCGAUAUCACAGGAAAGGUGCGGAAAACGCGUGGAUAGACGAAAAGACCGCGCGAGCACCAUAUCUGUAACUCGACCCUGUGGUGA
RNAcentral lists this ribosomal RNA (89 nucleotides) under Karlodinium veneficum. RNAcentral's name for it is "partial Bacterial large subunit ribosomal RNA". The record is from RNAcentral. Lineage: Eukaryota; Dinophyceae; Gymnodiniales; Kareniaceae.